UACGGGGGGGGCAAGCGUUGUUCGGAAUUACUGGGCGUAAAGGGCGCGUAGGCGGAUGAGCAAGUCUGUGGUGAAAUCCCCCGGCUUAACCGGGGAACUGCCGUGGAUACUGCACAUCUCGAGGAAGAUAGGGGCGUCUGGAACUAGCGGUGGAGCGGUGAAAUGCGUUGAUAUCGCUAGGAACUCCGGUGGCGAAGGCGAGACGCUGGAUCUUUUCUGACGCUGAGGCGCGAAAGCCAGGGGAGCGAACGGG
RNAcentral lists this ribosomal RNA (253 nucleotides) under uncultured bacterium. RNAcentral describes it as "partial 16S ribosomal RNA". It matches the Rfam family "Bacterial small subunit ribosomal RNA", at positions 524 to 776 of the family's 1533-position model. The record is from RNAcentral.